RNAcentral lists this ribosomal RNA (484 nucleotides) under uncultured bacterium. Its description in RNAcentral is "partial 16S ribosomal RNA". It matches the Rfam family "Bacterial small subunit ribosomal RNA", at positions 30 to 507 of the family's 1533-position model. The record is from RNAcentral.
AUUGAACGCUGGCGGCAGGCCUAACACAUGCAAGUCGAGCGGAUGAAGGGAGCUUGCUCCUGGAUUCAGCGGCGGACGGGUGAGUAAUGCCUAGGAAUCUGCCUGGUAGUGGGGGAUAACGUCCGGAAACGGGCGCUAAUACCGCAUACGUCCUGAGGGAGAUAGUGGGGGAUCUUCGGACCUCACGCUAUCAGAUGAGCCUAGGUCGGAUUAGCUAGUUGGUGGGGUAAAGGCCUACCAAGGCGACGCUCCGUAACUGGUCUGAGAGGAUGAUCAGUCACACUGGAACUGAGACACGGUCCAGACUCCUACGGGAGGCAGCAGUGGGGAAUAUUGGACGAUGGGCGAAAGCCUGAUACAGCCAUGCCGCGUGUGGGAAGAAGGUCGUCGGAUUGUAAAGCACUUUAAGUUGGGAGGAAGGGCAGUAAGUUAAUACCUUGCUGUUUUGACGUUACCAACAGAAUAAGCACCGGCUAACUUCGUG